This is a long non-coding RNA of Myotis myotis, 1508 nucleotides long. RefSeq lists it as uncharacterized. The record is from RefSeq and is a predicted model, not a curated record. The transcript is spliced from 3 exons. Lineage: Eukaryota; Metazoa; Chordata; Mammalia; Chiroptera; Vespertilionidae.
GCUCCGCUCUCCGCUCACUGUGCUGACGCUGUCAGUCCUGCUGCAGGGAACGCCUGUCGGCCAGAUGUGUCUUCGUUGCCAGUUCAAGAGAGAGGCGGCCGCUUUUCAGCACCAUCUAGAGGUUCUGUCCUUCGUGGGGACAGGGCCGUGUGCUGAGAAAAUGACUCCUCGGGCGAGAAAGUACCGCGUGUCCGUGGGGAGCUGGGCCUUGGCAUUUCACAGGGAACCAGCCGCAAAGGAACUGGGCUGCGCCCGGAUGACACCAUCGUAAGUGUCCCAAGUCCCGGAUCAAGGACCCGCGCGACUGUGGAGCCACAACUAAGCAGCCGGUGGCCGAGGGGACAGGCGGCGAGCCCGGACACUGCCUGCCCCUCUCUCCCCGAGCCUGGAGGAAGCAGUGGGACCCUCUCCCAAGGGGUGCCCAGCCCACGUCAACGUCCUGCGAAGGUCACGAACCCCAUUGAGGCCUCUCCCCUCUUCCCAGCCACCCUCUCGGGACGGUUUCCCUUUAAUAUAUAUAUAUAUUUACUGAUGCCAGAGAGGAAGGGAGAGGGAGCGAGAGAGAGAAACAUCAAUGAUGAGGGAGAAUCACCGAUCGGCUGCCUCCUACACGGCCCCUGCUGGGGAUGGAGCCCACAAUGACCAGGAAUCGUUGAUGCUCAACCACUGAGCCUCUCGGGCCUGUUUGUCUUGAACAUGUCUUGUGUUGCGACCAUCUUAUUAGUAUGAGAUUUGGGAAAGCAGAAUGGCCCCUCAUAGUCCCGGAUUGCAAUCAAUGUGACUCUUCAAUUCGACUUCUGGAGGCGUCCUUCUGUGAUUCGCGGGGUACAUUACAACCAUGGAACCUCAACUGUGGCAACUUCUUUGACCCUGAAUGACAGCAGGUGAACCUCCUGGGGUGUCACUCUCUGCUUCCGGGAGGAGGGAGGCGAUGGAGGGGGGAAGCAGAGACGAGGAGGAAUGGAGGGUGGCGGCAGGAAGGCCAGGGUGAGAAGGGGAGACGGAGGCAGGAGGGGUGACAGGAGAGGAGGCCUCCCUUCCCAGUCCCUCCGCCCUGUGGCCCCUCCAUCUGUUCCCUCCCAGCAGCCGGCCUCCGGUGCCUCCCUGGCCCCCCUCGCUGCACGGAGCGGGGUGCAUUGUGCGGGGACGGCCCCACUAUCUUUCCAGAACUUGUUCAUCAUCCAAAACUGAGGCCCUGGACCCAUCGAACAAUAACCCCCUGAAACCAGACUCCCGCUUUGUCUGUUGGCUUUUCAUGACGAGACUGAAUAGAACUCGAACAUUCUAGAGGGAUGACCUUUAAGUAGGUUAAGUCCGGGCGGGGCUGGAGCAGGGCUUCCAGGGGGGCAGUGAGAGGCCGGAAGCUCCUCCAGCCGCUGUUCCCACGGCCCGGGGGUCCCACGCGCCGGGGUGAGGCCGCGACACCCUCCGCAGGCGCCUGCGCACAGCGGGCCCUGCACGCGGGGCAGGAGGGAGGUAAGGAUGCUGAGGUCCUGGCCGCGGGCAAA